This 3989-nucleotide long non-coding RNA is filed under the name Sorghum bicolor (sorghum). RNAcentral's name for it is "long non-coding RNA (SBIC_LNC009350)". The record is from RNAcentral. Lineage: Eukaryota; Viridiplantae; Streptophyta; Magnoliopsida; Poales; Poaceae.
AUUCGUCGCAGCCGCCGUCACCUCUCCCUCAGCCCAUGAGCUUGAACAAGAGUGUCCCCGAGCAGGUACUCGUUCUCUUCCCUUCCCUCUCCCGCAGACCACGAGCUCGAACAGUAGGUCCCCUUCCCAGGCUUUUCCAUCCCCGUCCAUUUGCUCCCUGUGUGAAUGAUGUCACCUGCAUUUGAUUGCAUAUAUUUUCUCUCAACUUGUUUGUAUAUAUAUGUACCAGCCAAGUCUAGAUCAAGCAGCACCAGAUCGAUUAGUACUAGCUGCUUGAAUUGCUGUCAAUAGAAGUAUGGUAGUACUGAAUGGGACAUGACCCUUCCAUCUAGACAUGCAUCUGAAUUUUUAUAAUUUCUCAAUCUGGAUUUAAUCUUCUGAAUAUUUCAGUGUUCACUCUUGCCAUUAUCGGGAGUUAACCUUCCUAAUUUCUGUAAUCAGUAAUUAGAUUAGAACAAUUUAGUAGGGCUCAAUAGAGAACCUGUGCCGUUGGUCAUGUGGAAUCAGAUAUAUAUAAAAAUUUUGGAGAGUAUUUCUUGAUAACAAUAGCUGCUAACUUAAUUAGACUCUGCUCUUAGAUUGAUAACAAUAGGUGCCACCGUCCGUGGCACUGCAGCUGCUGUCCCCAACACUGCUCGCCCCGCCCGCCGUAGCCGUCAUCCCCACCCCAUUGUCAUAGACACCGUCCUCUCUCCCGCUGUAGAAUAGCGGCACAUGAGUAGGUACUCGUUAUCUUCCAUUCCAUGCUAAUUAGAACAUCUUUUAUUUUUACCUAUUUGCUUGUUGAAGUAAGUAUGAUGCUUGUCCUUACAGAAAUAAACAAUUUUAGAUUUUUUUCUUACCAAUUAAUCAUACCAGCUAAAUAAAAUAGAAUAAAAAUUGUAAUACUAUGAUACACAAGCUUGUAAUACAUCCAACCUCUAAUUGAUAAUGACUUAUAAACUGAAGUUGGGAGACUUAGAGAGACUGCAGUCUAGAGACUGAUAUACUAUGUUGUGUGCCAAUAUUAAUUCUCUGAACUUGUUGGUAUAUACCAGCCAAGUCUGAUGUCAUCAUAAUGUUAUUGCAGCUGCUCCACGUGUAGUUGGACACCUUAGGAAGGCAUCUGAACGUGCUCCAAGCAGCAGCUCUACUUGUUUCUAUUGUAGGUUUCUAUUGGCCUAGCUAUGAUCUCUUACUUUUUCAUGCUAAGGAAGUUUGCGACUAUUUCCGUGCUUAUGAUAUGUUUUUUCAUUUCAUAUUGAAAUCUACUUGCUGUCUUGCAUGAAGGUUGAACAUGGAUAAAUCAUGGAUUGAUGAUAAUGCUAGGUAAAAACCAGUAAUUGGACAAAUAUUAAAAGUUCUAUAUACAUGUCAAAUGGUAUUUAACCUAAAACUUUCACAUAGGCACACCAAGACAUAUUUGCAAGGAGUGAAUAGUUUCUUAGUUUUUGCUUUUAGUAAUUCUGCAGUGGGCAGCAAGAUAUUAUGCCUGUGUAGAAAGUGUGUAAACUCAUUUUGGAAAGAAGCAAGUGAAGUCUGUGAGCACUUGAUAUGUGAUUGAUUUCUAGAAGGUAUCGAACAAGGAACUUACAUGGAGAAGCUAGCUCUUCUAUGAAUCAUGAGAAUUAUGAUGCUGCUGCUAAGGUCAUAGAGGAUUCUAGUGAGGAUGAUGAAAUAUCUGAUUUGCUUAGAAACUUAGCUGCUGGUCUAGAUGAUAGAGAAGAUUUUGAAGACAAUAGUUCAACUUUGGAGACCUGUCCUGAGCUAGUUGCCCUUCAAAAGUUGGUAGCAGAAAAUAACAAAGAGCUUUUCCCAAAUUGCAAGAAAUAUACACAACUAAGGUUCCUAAUUAGGUUGCUCCACAUCAAACUCCUAGGAGGAUGGACUGAUAGAUCUAUGGACCUACUACUAGAUAUACUUAAUGGUGCAUUCCCUGAGGGUCCAAAUCUACCUAGAAACUUUCAUGAAGCUAUGAAAUUGGUGAAAACCAUUGGUGUUUGUUACAAAAUAUUCAUGCUUGUGAAAAUGAUUGUGUUCUCUAUUGGACAGAGUAUGUGGAUUAGAUUCGUGUCCGAAAUGUGAGGUUUCUCGAUGGAAAUCAAAUAGGAGGAGCCUUGAUGGGAGAAAUGUCUAUAAGGUUCCUAAGAAAGUUCUCCGCUACUUUCCUAUGAAGAAAUCAUUUCAAAGGUUAUUUUUGUCAUCUAAAACAGCAAGUCUAACAAGAUGGCAUGAUGAAGACUGAAAAAAGGAUGGUCUACUAAGGCAUCCGGAAGAUUCACCUCUAUGGCCAGACUUUGAUGAAAGGCAUCCAGAAUUUUCUGCAGAUAGUCGAAAUAUUCGAGUAACAUUUGCCACGGAUGGGUUUAAUCCAUUUAGAAUGAACAAUGUUAGCUAUAGUGUUUGGCCUAGUAUUUUCAUAGAAUUUUCUACAGCAAGAGCUUUGCUUGUUCUAGACGUGAAUAGGUAUACUUAUCUUUUUUCACAAUCGUACAUAGGUACUUUCUGCAAAUUGUCUAUAUUGAAAGCUAAAACACUUGGAGGGCCUUGAGCUUGUACGUCCUCCUUGACGAGAUGAAGUAUAUGUCAAAACUCAUACAAGAAAAAAUGGUGUUCCAACACAUAAAGCAGAACCAAUCAUUGUAAGUUUUCAUGCAUUUUUUGCUGAAUUGUAGUAGUUCAUAAUGAAUGUGUGUAAACAUUGAUCUCCCAUAUAUGUAGAACAAAUUUCAAGAAAUUGUUGAAGCCCACCUAGAGUUGAAGGAAAGAACAAUUGAACAGGCUGAUGCAUUUGCUGCUGCUUGUGGUGUAAAGAAGCCAUGAGGGCAUGUGCGAACUCUAGGUCUAGGACCAACUCCUCAAGACAUUGGUAUAGCCAGAUUGAAGUGUUACCCAUCUACAAGAUUUCAAAUGGAAGUUUUGGCUCAUAAAACAGCUGAACAACGCAUAGUUGAUCUAGUAGAGCAAAUGAAAAGGCAGGAGGAAAGGCAUACAGAUGAAAGGCAAAACUUUAUGGAAGUCAUGUCACAUAAUGGUUCUAAUUUACACCAAUAUGUGGUAUAAUACUAGCUAUAACAAUACACUAGCUAUUUAUUUUCGCUCUUAAUACCCUUUGCAGAUUUGUCUCUUUAUUGUUUCCAUUUGUUUGUAGAGCCCAAGGUCUACAGAAAAUGUUGAUGACACACAUCAUCAUGAUGCUCCUUUCCAAGAAGAUGAAGAUCAUGGAGAUAAUGAAGACCAUGAUGCAUAUCCUCAGGACGGUGAAUACUUGUUUGCAGAGACGUCCUGCAGCCUUUGCUAUGCAGUCUCAUCAACAUAGCCCCAAUAGUACAGCUCAUACAAUGUAGACCCAUGCAACCUCACCCCAUCAGUGCAACCUCAAUGUUACAGCAGCCCAUGUUGCACAGCAUUUUGAUCCCUUGUCCCAUCGCCGCUUCUCCAACAAUGCAGCCCCUACAGUCCAGCAUGGUACAACACAUGAAGUGCAGCCUAAUGCAACCUUAUCCUAUCAGUGUAUCCCCAACAAUGGAACCUCUACAGUCCAACAUGGUGCAGCCCAAGAAUUGCAAUCUGAUCCAGCACAACAUCAGUUCUUGAAUGCUAGAGUUGUAGACUUAACCAUAUUUUCUUACUAAAAAAUUUUCCUAUGCCAUCUUGAUGUUACAGGUUGAGGGAGGCCUUGGAGGAAGCCAACAUAUGACAUUUUGCUUUUGAUAAGAUGGAGACGAGGCAUUUUGUAGUGAAUCUAGUUAGAUUGUGCAUGCAAACAUAUGACUUGUCCAUGCCAUUUGACCUAGCUAGAUUGUAUGUGUGCUGUUUCUUGUGUAAUGAUGACUUGUCAUGAAUUGUGACAAUGUUGGCUUCAAUGAAAACUUGAGAUAACUUAUUUUAUAUGGUUGAUGAGUGUUGUGGGCAGCUAUGGUUUACACAUAUAUGUGGUUGAUGAAUAAUGUAACCUGUUAUGGAUGUUUAUUAAGCAUGAAAUCUAGUUAAUAUGAAAUUGAAAUUAU